This 67-nucleotide transfer RNA is filed under the name Propsilocerus sinicus. RNAcentral describes it as "tRNA-Glu". It matches the Rfam family "tRNA". From Rfam's summary of the family: Transfer RNA (tRNA) molecules are approximately 80 nucleotides in length. The record is from RNAcentral. Lineage: Eukaryota; Metazoa; Arthropoda; Insecta; Diptera; Chironomidae.
AUUUAUAUAGUUUAACAAAAACAUUACAUUUUCACUGUAAAAAUAAAAAUUUAUUUUUUUAUAGAUA